UACGGAGGGUGCAAGCGUUAUCCGGAUUCACUGGGUUUAAAGGGUGCGUAGGUGGGUUGGUAAGUCAGUGGUGAAAUCCCCGAGCUUAACUUGGGAGCUGCCAUUGAUACUAUCAGUCUUGAAUACCGUGGAGGUCAGUGGAAUAUGUCAUGUAGCGGUGAAAUGCUUAGAUAUGACAUAGAACACCAAUUGCGAAGGCAGCUGGCUACACGAAUAUUGACACUGAGGCACGAAAGCGUGGGGAGCAAACAGG
This 253-nucleotide ribosomal RNA is filed under the name uncultured bacterium. RNAcentral describes it as "partial 16S ribosomal RNA". It matches the Rfam family "Bacterial small subunit ribosomal RNA", at positions 524 to 776 of the family's 1533-position model. The record is from RNAcentral.